Molecule: non-coding RNA, 200 nt
Filed under: human gut metagenome
Source: RNAcentral
AGAACUGAUAAUUCGAUAGGUGGAAUGAUGGGGUAACGCCCUGAAACGCCUCCCUGAGACCUGCGAGUGGCGUAGCUGCAAUUAAGUGCAAAAAUGUCAUAGAGCUCGCUGAAGUCGGCUGAGAGUACACCCUAACAGACAAUGCUGAGGAACAGUGAACCAGAGGUGGUCAAGUGUACGAUAGGUCGGGGGUCUACAAA